GGGUUGUGAGGUUAAGCGACUAAGCGUACACGGUGGAUGCCCUGGCAGUCAGAGGCGAUGAAGGACGUGCUAAUCUGCGAAAAGCGCCGGUAAGGUGAUAUGAACCGUUAUAGCCGGCGAUGUCCGAAUGGGGAAACCCAGUGUGAUUCGUCACACUAUCAUUAACUGAAUCCAUAGGUUAAUGAGGCGAACCGGGGGAACUGAAACAUCUAAGUACCCCGAGGAAAAGAAAUCAACCGAGAUUCCCCCAGUAGCGGCGAGCGAACGGGGAGCAGCCCAGAGCCUGAAUCAGCUUGUGUGUUAGUGGAAGCGUCUGGAAAGUCGCGCGAUACAGGGUGACAGCCCCGUACACAAAAGCACACAGGCUGUGAGCUCGAUGAGUAGGGCGGGACACGUGGUAUCCUGUCUGAAUAUGGGGGGACCAUCCUCCAAGGCUAAAUACUCCUGACUGACCGAUAGUGAACCAGUACCGUGAGGGAAAGGCGAAAAGAACCCCGGCGAGGGGAGUGAAAAAGAACCUGAAACCGUGUACGUACAAGCAGUGGGAGCAUCCUUCGGGGUGUGACUGCGUACCUUUUGUAUAAUGGGUCAGCGACUUAUAUUCUGUAGCAAGGUUAACCGAAUAGGGGAGCCGAAGGGAAACCGAGUCUUAACUGGGCGUUAAGUUGCAGGGUAUAGACCCGAAACCCGGUGAUCUAGCCAUGGGCAGGUUGAAGGUUGGGUAACACUAACUGGAGGACCGAACCGACUAAUGUUGAAAAAUUAGCGGAUGACUUGUGGCUGGGGGUGAAAGGCCAAUCAAACCGGGAGAUAGCUGGUUCUCCCCGAAAGCUAUUUAGGUAGCGCCUCGUGAAUUCAUCUCCGGGGGUAGAGCACUGUUUCGGCUAGGGGGCCAUCCCGGCUUACCAACCCGAUGCAAACUACGAAUACCGGAGAAUGUUAUCACGGGAGACACACGGCGGGUGCUAACGUCCGUCGUGAAGAGGGAAACAACCCAGACCGCCAGCUAAGGUCCCAAAGUCAUGGUUAAGUGGGAAACGAUGUGGGAAGGCCCAGACAGCCAGGAUGUUGGCUUAGAAGCAGCCAUCAUUUAAAGAAAGCGUAAUAGCUCACUGGUCGAGUCGGCCUGCGCGGAAGAUGUAACGGGGCUAAACCAUGCACCGAAGCUGCGGCAGCGACACUAUGUGUUGUUGGGUAGGGGAGCGUUCUGUAAGCCUGCGAAGGUGGCCUGUGAGGGUUGCUGGAGGUAUCAGAAGUGCGAAUGCUGACAUAAGUAACGAUAAAGCGGGUGAAAAGCCCGCUCGCCGGAAGACCAAGGGUUCCUGUCCAACGUUAAUCGGGGCAGGGUGAGUCGACCCCUAAGGCGAGGCCGAAAGGCGUAGUCGAUGGGAAACAGGUUAAUAUUCCUGUACUUGGUGUUACUGCGAAGGGGGGACGGAGAAGGCUAUGUUAGCCGGGCGACGGUUGUCCCGGUUUAAGCGUGAAGGUGUGUGCUCCAGGCAAAUCCGGAGCACUUUAACACUGAGGCGUGAUGACGAGGUACUACGGUGCUGAAGUAACAAAUGCCCUGCUUCCAGGAAAAGCCUCUAAGCUCCAGGUAACACGAAAUCGUACCCCAAACCGACACAGGUGGUCAGGUAGAGAAUACCAAGGCGCUUGAGAGAACUCGGGUGAAGGAACUAGGCAAAAUGGUGCCGUAACUUCGGGAGAAGGCACGCUGAUACGUAGGUGAAGUCCCUCGCGGAUGGAGCUGAAAUCAGUCGAAGAUACCAGCUGGCUGCAACUGUUUAUUAAAAACACAGCACUGUGCAAACACGAAAGUGGACGUAUACGGUGUGACGCCUGCCCGGUGCCGGAAGGUUAAUUGAUGGGGUCAUCCGUAAGGAGAAGCUCUUGAUCGAAGCCCCGGUAAACGGCGGCCGUAACUAUAACGGUCCUAAGGUAGCGAAAUUCCUUGUCGGGUAAGUUCCGACCUGCACGAAUGGCGUAAUGAUGGCCAGGCUGUCUCCACCCGAGACUCAGUGAAAUUGAACUCGCUGUGAAGAUGCAGUGUACCCGCGGCAAGACGGAAAGACCCCGUGAACCUUUACUAUAGCUUGACACUGAACACUGGUCCUUGAUGUGUAGGAUAGGUGGGAGGCUUUGAAGCGUGGACGCCAGUCUGCGUGGAGCCGCCCUUGAAAUACCACCCUUUAAUGGCUGGUGUUCUAACGUGGACCCGUGAUCCGGGUUGCGGACAGUGUCUGGUGGGUAGUUUGACUGGGGCGGUCUCCUCCUAAAGCGUAACGGAGGAGCACGAAGGUCAGCUAAUCCUGGUCGGACAUCAGGAGGUUAGUGCAAUGGCAUAAGCUGGCUUGACUGCGAGCGUGACGGCGCGAGCAGGUGCGAAAGCAGGUCAUAGUGAUCCGGUGGUUCUGAAUGGAAGGGCCAUCGCUCAACGGAUAAAAGGUACUCCGGGGAUAACAGGCUGAUACCGCCCAAGAGUUCAUAUCGACGGCGGUGUUUGGCACCUCGAUGUCGGCUCAUCACAUCCUGGGGCUGAAGUAGGUCCCAAGGGUAUGGCUGUUCGCCAUUUAAAGUGGUACGCGAGCUGGGUUUAGAACGUCGUGAGACAGUUCGGUCCCUAUCUGCCGUGGGCGCUGGAGAAUUGAGGGGGGCUGCUCCUAGUACGAGAGGACCGGAGUGGACGCAUCACUGGUGUUCGGGUUGUCAUGCCAAUGGCACUGCCCGGUAGCUAAAUGCGGAAGAGAUAAGUGCUGAAAGCAUCUAAGCACGAAACUUGCCCCGAGAUGAGUUCUCCCUGAGACUUUAAGUCUCCUGAAGGAACGUUGAAGACGACGACGUUGAUAGGCCGGGUGUGUAAGCGCAGCGAUGCGUUGAGCUAACCGGUACUAAUGAACCGUGAGGCUUAACCUUACAACGCCGAAG
This 2928-nucleotide ribosomal RNA is filed under the name Enterobacter sp. R4-368. RNAcentral describes it as "bacterial LSU rRNA". It matches the Rfam family "Bacterial large subunit ribosomal RNA". The record is from RNAcentral. Lineage: Bacteria; Pseudomonadati; Pseudomonadota; Gammaproteobacteria; Enterobacterales; Enterobacteriaceae.